Molecule: RNA transcript, 2690 nt
Organism: Sorghum bicolor (sorghum)
Lineage: Eukaryota; Viridiplantae; Streptophyta; Magnoliopsida; Poales; Poaceae
Gene name: DEAD-box ATP-dependent RNA helicase 41
Exons: 5
Source: RefSeq, a predicted model, not a curated record
CGGCCUUCGAAACAAACAGGCCCACCACCCCCUCGUCGUGGUUUCUCGACGCGCGUGCUUUCUCAGCUCUCGCUGUUUCACCCGCAGCACCUUCGUCGCCGGCCGCCUCCCCGUGACCCGGAUUCCGGAGCCGCGAGGCGUUGCAGCGGCGAGCCUACUACCUCUCUGCCUGGUUGAAGCGGAGUUGUUCAUUGGCCUUCUUCAAGCUCCAGGCAGCGCCCUUUUCGCGAAAUCGCAGCCGGUGUGUGGGGGUCUCGAUCUCACGGGACGCGCGCCGUUGCGGCCAACCGCCUCGGGAGCCCGCCGUGCCCCGCCGCCUCGUCUUCGUGGACAAGCAGGAGCAGUUGCUGCCCCCGGUGCCUCCGCCCUCAACUUCCAAACCCUAGGGACGGCAAAGGCUCGAACCCUGGGCGCUUUGACAGUGACCGUGCGAGGUGGUCGGCGUUGCGACCCUCGAGUUGCGGCUGACUGUUGCUUUUUUUUUUCCUUCUUCCUGGACUGAAUGGAGCAAGGGGAGAACCAAUCAGCUGGUAGUUUUGUUGUUUCAUCAUCGGAUAAUAAUGAGUUGGAAGAUUUGCCUGUUAAGGAAAGAUGCUUUGAGCAGAGAGAAGCUCUUCCAGGGGAGCCUCGCUGUGUUGUGUGUGGCCGAUAUGGUGAAUAUAUAUGUGAUCAGACUGAUGAUGACAUCUGCAGUGUGGAAUGCAAGACAAUUCUUCUUGCUCGGAUCGCUGCUAAAACAAAGCCAGCAGUAAAAGCUGCAAAGCGUGUGAACCUUCCUUUGGGCGAUGAGAGCUUCUGUAUUAAGGACAUCAAUUUUCCAAAUAUACCUACUUUAGCUGACAGCCGGAUUAGUUCACUGAGGACUAAACUUGACAUUUGUGUCAAGGGUGAUGCUGUUCCUGAUCCAAUCAUGUGUUUCUCUGCCUGUGGUCUUCCUGAGAAGCUUGUGCACAAUCUUGAGACUGCGGGAUAUUGUAUGCCUACUCCAGUGCAGAUGCAAGUUAUCCCUGCAUCAAUGAGUAAUAGAAGCCUACUUGUUUCUGCUGAUACUGGUUCAGGGAAAACUGCAUCUUUUCUGAUUCCCAUAAUUGCUCAUUGUUCACAAGUAAGAUCACAAGAAUCCACAAGCAAUCAAGGACCGUUGGCUAUAGUUCUUGCUCCAACUAGAGAGCUAUGCCUGCAGGUAGAAGAGCAAGCAAAAGUGCUUGGUAAAGGUUUGCCUUUCAAAACUGCUCUAGUUGUCGGUGGAGAUCCAUUGCCUCAGCAAAUUUACAGAAUUGAAAAUGGUAUUGAGUUAAUUGUUGGCACCCCUGGGAGGCUAAUUGAUCUUCUCAUGAAACACAAUGUUGACCUUACCUAUGUUUCUGUAUUCGUUUUGGAUGAGGUGGACUGCUUGUUGGAGAGGGGAUUCAGGGAUCAGGCCAUGCAGAUUUUUCAGUCACUUUCACAACCACAGGUUAUGAUGUUUUCAGCAACAUUACAUUCGGAAGUUGAGAAGAUGUCUAACUCACUGGCUAAGAAUGUGAUAAGUAUCUCUUGUGGGAAUCCAAACAGACCAACCAAAUCAGUCAAACAAGUGGUCAUUUGGGUGGAAUCUAAGAAGAAGAAGCAGAAGAUAUUUGAGAUAAUGAAAAGCAAGCAACAUUUUAAACCUCCUGCUGUUGUGUUUGUGAGUUCCAGAGUCGGAGCUGAUCUGUUGUCUGAAGCAAUUACUGUUGCUACUGGAUUAGAGGUUGUUUCUAUCCAUGGCGAGAAGACGAUGAAGGAGAGAAGAGAGAAUUUGAGAAGGUUUUUGACAGGAGAAGUAUCUGUCGUUGUUUCUACUGGUGUCCUGGGGCGUGGAAUGGAUCUCCUGAAAGUACGUCAAGUGAUAUUGUUUGACAUACCAAAUUCCAUCGAUGAAUAUAUUCACCAAGUUGGAAGGGCAUCCCGGAUGGGUGAGGAGGGUAUGGCUGUUGUGUUUGUGAAUGAGGAGGAUAGAAGGAUUUUCAAAGAGCUUGUUCAGGUUCUGAAGACUGCAGGAGCACCGAUACCCCGGGAACUUGCAAAUUCAAGAUAUACAGCUGGUGUUUAUGUUGGUAGCGAGAGGAAGAGAAAAUUGAGUUCUAGAUCUAUCUACCUAAAGGAUAAGUUGGUUAUCUUUAGAGUUCAUGCUAUUCCUGAAUUUGAAGCAUGCGCAGACCCAACAGGGGCAAACUGUCCAAGAUUAUUUCUCAAUGCAUGAUGUCUGGGAUCAAUUCAUUCAAGAAACAUAAACAAGAUACAUUAUAAAAUUCAAUAAAAUUGCACAUACUAACUCCGAUCAGAUUGCCAGUUUGGAUUAUAUAAGUGAUCGAUGAAUACCAUACCAUCUUCUUAAAUUUUGAAAGAUGAGUUCACCUAAACCAAGCUAGUCUACAUGUCUCUUUAUGUAAUUUCUGUCUCUCGAAGAUCAUGUUCUUCUGUUUUGUUCUAGCACAAUGACAGAAUGAGUUAUUUGAUACUACAUCCACAUUGUUAAGAUAUUACCUUAGCGAAUGUUGUGGUGAGAAAGAUGAUUGCAAGGAGAUAACAAUGGUGGUAAUGGGAGAAGAAAUUUUAAGGGGAACCAGCUAGUGCCCCGAUGAAUGAACUGAAGUUAUCAAACAUAACUUCAUAUGAAACAUGUGAUUGAGAUGAGAAAAACAUAAGUAGUGGGAACAAUUUUCUUU